AACGAACGCUGGCGGCAUGCCUAACACAUGCAAGUCGAACGAGACCUUCGUGUCUAGUUGCGCACGGGUGCUUAACGCGUGGUAACCUGCCCUUAGGUUCGGAAUAACUCCCCUAAGGAUGUGCUAAUACCGGUUGAUCUCUUCGGACCAAAGAUUUAUCGCCUUUGGAUGGGCCCGCGUUAGAUUAGCUGGUUGGUAGGGUAAAAGCCUACCAAGGAGACGAUCCAUAGCUGGUAUGAGAGGAUGAUAAGCCACAAUGGGAAUGCGACACGGCCCAGAAUAGUUCGGGAGGUAGCAGUGGGGAAUAUUGGACAAUGGGCGCAAGCGUGAUACAGCAAUGCGGCGUGAGUGAUGCAGGCCUUAGGGUUGUAAAGCUCUUUUACACGGGAUGAUAAUGACAGUACCGGGAGAAUAAGCUCCGGCUAACUACGUG
This 433-nucleotide ribosomal RNA is filed under the name uncultured bacterium. Its description in RNAcentral is "partial 16S ribosomal RNA". It matches the Rfam family "Bacterial small subunit ribosomal RNA", at positions 29 to 507 of the family's 1533-position model. The record is from RNAcentral.